GGGUUGUGAGGUUAAGCGACUAAGCGUACACGGUGGAUGCCCUGGCAGUCAGAGGCGAUGAAGGGCGUGCUAAUCUGCGAUAAGCGCCGGUAAGGUGAUAUGAACCGUUAUAACCGGCGAUACCCGAAUGGGGAAACCCAGUGUGACUCGUCACACUAUCAUUAACUGAAUCCAUAGGUUAAUGAGGCGAACCGGGGGAACUGAAACAUCUAAGUACCCCGAGGAAAAGAAAUCAACCGAGAUUCCCCCAGUAGCGGCGAGCGAACGGGGAGGAGCCCAGAGCCUGAAUCAGCAUGUGUGUUAGUGGAAGCGUCUGGAAAGGCGCGCGAUACAGGGUGACAGCCCCGUACACAAAAGCGCAUGUGCUGUGAGCUCGAUGAGUAGGGCGGGACACGUGGUAUCCUGUCUGAAUAUGGGGGGACCAUCCUCCAAGGCUAAAUACUCCUGACUGACCGAUAGUGAACCAGUACCGUGAGGGAAAGGCGAAAAGAACCCCGGCGAGGGGAGUGAAAAAGAACCUGAAACCGUGUACGUACAAGCAGUGGGAGCACCCUUCGGGGUGUGACUGCGUACCUUUUGUAUAAUGGGUCAGCGACUUAUAUUCUGUAGCAAGGUUAACCGUAUAGGGGAGCCGGAGGGAAACCGAGUCUUAAUUGGGCGUUAAGUUGCAGGGUAUAGACCCGAAACCCGGUGAUCUAGCCAUGGGCAGGUUGAAGGUUGGGUAACACUAACUGGAGGACCGAACCGACUAAUGUUGAAAAAUUAGCGGAUGACCUGUGGCUGGGGGUGAAAGGCCAAUCAAACCGGGAGAUAGCUGGUUCUCCCCGAAAGCUAUUUAGGUAGCGCCUCGUGAAUUCAUCUCCGGGGGUAGAGCACUGUUUCGGCUAGGGGGCCAUCCCGGCUUACCAACCCGAUGCAAACUGCGAAUACCGGAGAAUGUUAUCACGGGAGACACACGGCGGGUGCUAACGUCCGUCGUGAAGAGGGAAACAACCCAGACCGCCAGCUAAGGUCCCAAAGUCAUGGUUAAGUGGGAAACGAUGUGGGAAGGCCCAGACAGCCAGGAUGUUGGCUUAGAAGCAGCCAUCAUUUAAAGAAAGCGUAAUAGCUCACUGGUCGAGUCGGCCUGCGCGGAAGAUGUAACGGGGCUAAACCAUGCACCGAAGCUGCGGCAGCGACACUGUGUGUUGUUGGGUAGGGGAGCGUUCUGUAAGCCUGUGAAGGUGGCCUGUGAGGGUUGCUGGAGGUAUCAGAAGUGCGAAUGCUGACAUAAGUAACGAUAAAGCGGGUGAAAAGCCCGCUCGCCGGAAGACCAA
This 1316-nucleotide ribosomal RNA is filed under the name Salmonella enterica. RNAcentral's name for it is "partial 23S ribosomal RNA". It matches the Rfam family "Bacterial large subunit ribosomal RNA", at positions 1 to 1348 of the family's 2925-position model. Lineage: Bacteria; Pseudomonadati; Pseudomonadota; Gammaproteobacteria; Enterobacterales; Enterobacteriaceae. The record is from RNAcentral.